GCUCGGCAGCCGGCAUUGGUGACCUGCAGGACACACCACACUAGUCAGUAUAAACAUAAACAAUAACACGACUUUGUCUUCUUCUUUCGACUUUAUGAGUAACGGUUGACUGUUGAUGAGAUUAAUUAAUAACAGAAGAAGCGAAGAAUUCAAUUACCUAUAGAUAGUACUUGCGUACUUGAUGUCACUUUUCGGUCGGACACAUAGGUUCUGUAAUUCAGUCUGGAGGUGAAUCUAAAUAUAUUGGUUUUACCGAGAAAUGGUUAUGAAGAGGGAAUAAAAGCACAGCAUCAUUCAACGGUGACAGAAAUUCAAGCGUUAGUUAGUAUCCGUCAGAGGUAACAUAAAUGUUUGAUAAAAAAAAUAAAGUACCUAUUUAUCUUUCAGUGUAUUUCAGAAAAAACUUCUUCUUAGCCGUUUUCAACCUCAAAGGUGUAGGCCUCCUUCAGUCUAUGCCACUCAUCUCGAUCUUGGGCUAUCUCUAUCCAUUUGCUACCGGAUGUUUUCCUUAUAUCGUCGGUCCAUCGCAUUUGUGGUCGACCACGAGGGCGUGUCUCACCAGAAAAAUUUACAGCAUGGUUAUAGGGGGAAAUUAAGAGAGAUGUUUGUUUUUUCUACUAACAGAGAUAAUAAUAAUUGAGUGCCAAAGUGCCGGCAACUUCUACUUACCCAAGUUUCACUGUAUAAGUUUUGAAAUAGAUGUCUCGUAUAUUUUCACUGUUAGUAAGUACUGUAUCACACCAGGCGACACACUAAUCCGUGACAAACGGCGUGGUACCUAUUUCUGAUUUGGAAAAUAACUGUCCACAACACAGAUUACAAAUCUAGUCCGAUGUAUCCUGAUACGCGCCGCCGCCGCCAUCACUACACGUAAUAGAUAAACUUUUUAAUUUAAAUGAUAUAUCCGCCCAGUUUCGUAAGAAUUAUGUUAUCAAAUAGUUUGAACACCAUGAUAAAGCAGAUUUGAAAUUGAUAAACCACACUUUGUUGUACUUAUUGGACUAUUAAGGCUUAAGGUUUAACUCUGUUUCUAUUAGGGUGUUGCAAAAAUUGCUUAGUAAGCAGAAAGAGCAAUAUACAAUGAUAUACAUUCUGUGUAAAAAGUAUCGGGAUUAAAUAAAUAAAACAC
Molecule: non-coding RNA, 1129 nt
Organism: Plutella xylostella (diamondback moth)
Lineage: Eukaryota; Metazoa; Arthropoda; Insecta; Lepidoptera; Plutellidae
Source: RefSeq, a predicted model, not a curated record